UUCGCGCUCGUACCUGUUACAUUUUUCUACCGGUUCAUUGCUGCCGGUUGGGGUGGCAGCAGGGGUGGCAAGGGUUAAUUUUAGGGUGGCACCUGCCACCCCAUGCCACCCCAGUAGAUCCGCCCCUGGGCAGAAGUAAAAUAAGAGAUGUACAAAAAAAAAAUCUGGAAAAAAUAUUAAUCCAAUUUGAUUUUACAGCAGACAAAGAAGUUUUGGCCACUCAUCCAAGUUUUCUAGGAUGAUGCAAUGUUCAGCCAUCAACACAUUUGUGAAGUAAUUUUUUUCUCACCAAAAGAGCGCCCCCCCCAAGGCAGGAGAAAAAGUCAAGUUUUUCCUGCCCAUCGCUCAAUGGCUCAAACACACCACUCUCUCUGCAAAACCGAAAGGAGGAGAAACUUGCCAUUUGGAUAUAUACUAGCUGUGCCCUCACUCAUGGUCCAGACUUUUUUCAUAUAGGUCAUGAAGUUUGUCUGCAGCAAGUGUUUUGGUAGAAACUGCGCCUCCCAUUCAUUAUAAUGGUAAAUGACCACGGACAAGUGCGCACACCAUCUUUGGACCUUGAUAUAUUUUUGCAAUCCAAAUAUUUUUUAUUUCAUUUUUCUUUUUUUUUUGGUCUAACUAACUCAAAAAGCUUGGAAAAGAGUUCCUACAAAGGUUUUGGACAGUGAUUUUAACCCAAAUGCCAAAAACCUUAAACCUUACCAUAGCCCCAUAACGUAAUAUUAGGGUAUUACCUUCAGGAAGCCCAAACACCCCAAAUAUUUUUUUUUCAUUUUUAAUUUUUUUUUGGUCUAACUGACUCAAAAAGGUUGGAAAAGAGUUCCUACAAAGGUUUUGGACAGUGAUUUUAACCCUAUCGCCAAAAACCUUAAACCUUACCAUAGCCCCAUAAUCUAAUACCCGGGUAUUACCUUCAGGAAGCCCAAACACCCCAAAUAUUUUUUUUUCAUUUUUCUUUUUUUUUUUGGUCUAACUAACUCCAAAAGGUUGGAAAAGAGUUCCUACAAAGGUUUUGGACAAUAAUUUUAACCCUAACGCCAAAUAACUGAACCCUUACCAUAGCUCCAUAACCUAAUAACUGCAGGAAGCCCGAACACCCCAAAUAUUUUUUUUUCAUUUUACUUUUUUUUUUGGUGUAACCAACUCCAAAAGGUCUGAAACAUGUUCCUAAAAAGGUUUUGGACAGUUAGUUUAACCCUAUCGCCAAAAACCUUAAACCUUACCAUAGCCCCAUAACGUAAUAUUAGGGUAUUACCUUCAGGAAGCCCAAACACCCCAAAUAUUUUUUUUUCAUUUUUAAUUUUUUUUUGGUCUAACUGACUCAAAAAGGUUGGAAAAGAGUUCCUACAAAGGUUUUGGACAGUGAUUUUAACCCUAUCGCCAAAAACCUUAAACCUUACCAUAGCCCCAUAAUCUAAUACCCGGGUAUUACCUUCAGGAAGCCCGAACACCCCAAAUAAAUUUUUUUUAUUUUUUUUAUUUUUUAUUGGUCUAACUGACUCCAAAAGGUUGGAAAAGAGUUCCUACAAAGGUUUUGGACAGUGAUUUUAACCCUAACAACAAAAACCUUAAACCUUACCAUAGCCCCAUAACCUAAUAUUACCUUCAGGAAGCCCGAACACCCCAAAUAUUUUUUUUUCAUUUUACAUUUUUUUUUGGUGUACAAACUCCAAAAGGUCUGAAACGUGUUCCUAAAAAGGUUUUGGACAGUGAUUUUAACCCUAACGCCAAAAACCUUAAACCUUUCCUAAGCCCCAUAACCUAAUACCCGGGUAUUACCUUCAGGAAGCCCGAACACCCCAAAUAUUUUUUUUUUUUUUUUUUUUAAAUUUUUUUUGGUCAUACUGACUCCAAAAGGUUGGAAAAGAGUUCCUACAAAGGUUUUGGACAGUGAUUUUAACCCUAACGCCAAAAACCUUAAACCUUACCAUAGUCCCAUAACCUGAUACCCGGGUAUUACCUUCAGGAAGCCCGAACACCCUAAAUAUUUUUUUUUCAUUUUACAUUUUUUUUUUUGGUGUACAAACUCCAAAAGGUCUGAAACAUGUUCCUAAAAGGUUUUGGACAGUGAUUUUAACCCUAAUGCCAAAAACAUCAAACCUUACCCUAGCCCCAAAACCUAAUACCCGGGUAUUACCUUCAGGAAGCCUGAACACCCCAAAUAUUUUUUUUUCGUUUUUCUUUUUUUUUUGGUCUACCUAACUCCAAAAGGUUGGAAAAGAGUUCCUACAAAGGUUUUUGGACAGUAAUUUUAACCCUAACGCCAAAAACCUUAAACCUUUCCUAUUCCUAUUACCUUCAGGAAGCCCGAACACCCCAAAUAUUUUUUUUUCAUUUUUCUUGGAAAAGGGUUCCUACAAAGGUUUUUGGACAGUGAUUUUAACCCUAACGCCAAAAACCUUAAACCUUUCCAAUUUCCUAUUACCUUCAGGAAGCCCGAACACCCCAAAUAUUUUUUUUUUAUUUUUCUUUUUUUUUUGGUCUAACGAACUCCAUAAGGUUGGAAAAGAGUUCCUACAAAGGUUUUGGACAGUUAUUUUCACCCUAACUUCAAAAACCUUAAACCUUACUAUAGCCCCAUAACCUAAUACCCGGGUAUUACCUUCAGGAAGCCUGAACACCCCAAAUAUUUUUUUUUCAUUUUACUUUUUUUUUUUGGUUUAACCAACUGCAAAAGAUCUGAAACAUGUUCCUAAAAAGGUUUUGGACAGUCAUUUUAACCCUAACGCCAAAAACCUGAAACCUUACCCUAGCCCCAAAACCUAAUACCCGGGUAUUACCUUCAGGAAGCCAGAAAACCCCAAAUAUUUUUUUUUCUUUUUUCUUUUUUUUUUGGUCUACCUAACUCCAAAAGGUUGGAAAAGAGUUCCUACAAAGGUUUUUGGACAGUGAUUUUAACCCUAACGCCAAAAACCUUAAACCUUUCCUAAGCCCCAUAACCUAAUACCCAGGUAUUACCUUCAGGAAGCCCGAAAACCCCAAAUAUUUUUUUUUCAUUUUUCUUUUUUUUUUGGUCUAACUAACUCCAAAAGGUUGGAAAAGAGUUCCUACAAAGGUUUUGGACAAUAAUUUUAACCCUAACGCCAAAAAACUGAACCCUUACCAUAGCCCCAUAACCUGGGUAUUACCUUCAGGAAGCCCGAACACCCCAAAUAUUUUUUUUUCAUUUUACAUUUUUUUUUGGUGUAACCAACUCCAAAAGGUCUGAAACAUGUUCCUAAAAAGGUUUUGGAAAGUUAUUUUAACCCUAUCGCCAAAAACCUUAAACCUUACCAUAGCCCCAUAACCUAAUACCCGGGUAUUACCUCCAGGAAGCCCGAAAACCCCAAAUAUUUUUUAUUCCUUUUUUCUUUUUUUUUUGGUCUAACUAACUCCAAAAGGUUGGAAAAGAGUUCCUACAAAGGUUUUGGACAGUGAUUUUAACCCUCACGCCAAAAACCUUAAACCCUUACCAUAGCCCCAUAAUCUAAUACCGGGGUAUUACCUUCAGGAAGCCCGAACACCCCAAAUUAUUAUUUUUUUCAUUUUACAUUUUUUUUUUGGUGUAACUGACUCCAAAAGGUUGGAAAAGAGUUCCUACAAAGGUUUUGGACAGUGAUUUUAACCCUCACGCCAAAAACCUUAAACCUUACCUUAGCCCCAAAAACUAAUACCCGCGUAUUACCUUCAGGAUGCCCGAACACCCCAAAUAUAUAUUUUUUAAUUUUUCAUGUUUUUUUGGUCUAACUAACUCCAAAAGCUUGGAAAAGAGUUCCCACAAAGGUUUUGGACAUUGAUUUUAACCCUAACGCCAAAAACCUAAAACCUUACCAUAGCCCCAUAACCUGAUACAUAAACUGCCUUCAGGAAGCCCGAACACCCCAAAUAUUUUUUUUUCAUUUUACUUUUUUAUUUUGGUGUACAAACUCCAAAAGGUCUGAAACAUGUUCCUAAAAAUGUUUUGGACAGUGAUUUUAACCCUAAUGCCAAAAACCUCAAACCUUACCCUAGCCCCAAAACCUAAUACCCGGGUAUUACCUUCAGGAAGCCCGAAAACCACAAAUAUUUUUUAUUCCUUUUUUUUUUUUUUUUUGGUCUAACUAACUCCAAAAGGUUGGAAAAGAGUUCCUACAAAGGUUUUGGACAGUGAUUUUAACCCUAACGCCAAAAACCUUAAAACUUACCAUAGCCCCAUAACCUAAUACCCGGGUAUUACCUUCAGGAAGCCCGAACACCCCAAAUAUUUUUUUUUCAUUUUACAUUUUUUUUAGUGUAACCAGCUCCAAAAGCUUGGAAAAGAGUUCCUACAAAGGUUUUGGACAGUGAUUUUAACCUUAACACCAAAAACCUUAAACCUAACCAUAGCCCCAUAAUUCAAUACCCGGGUAUUACCUUAAGAAAGCCCGAACACCCCAAAUAUAUAUAUAUAUUUUUUCAUCUUUUUUUUGGUCUAACGAACUCCGAAAUGUUGGAAAAGAGUUCCUACAAAGGUUUUGGACAGUGAUUUUAACCCUAAUGCCAAAAACACUAAAACUUUCAAUAGCCCCAUAACCUAAUACCCGGGUAUUACCUUCAGGAAGCCCAAAAACCACAAAUAUAUAUAUAUAUUUUUUCAUCUUUUUUUUGGUCUAACUAACUCCAAAAGGUUGGAAAAGAGUUCCUACAAAGGUUUUGGACAGUGAUUUUAACCCUAACGCCAAAAACCUUAACCCUUACCAUAGCCCCAUAAUCUAAUACCGGGGUAUCACCUUCAGGAAGCCCGAACACCCCAAAUUAUUUUUUUUUUUCAUUUUACUUUUUUUUUUUUUUGUGUGUAACCAACUCCAAAAGGUCUGAAACAUGUUCCUAAAAAGGUUCUGGACAGUGAUUUUAACCCUAAUACCAACCUUAAAUGUUUCCUAAUCCCCAUAGCCUAA
Xyrichtys novacula (pearly razorfish) is the source of this 4895-nucleotide non-coding RNA. The record is from the annotation of a GenBank genome assembly. Lineage: Eukaryota; Metazoa; Chordata; Actinopteri; Labriformes; Labridae.